This 497-nucleotide ribosomal RNA is filed under the name uncultured bacterium. Its description in RNAcentral is "partial 16S ribosomal RNA". It matches the Rfam family "Bacterial small subunit ribosomal RNA", at positions 28 to 507 of the family's 1533-position model. The record is from RNAcentral.
GAUGAACGCUGGCGGCGUGCCUAAUACAUGCAAGUCGAGCGAACGGACGAGAAUCUUGCUUCUCUGAUGUUAGCGGCGGACGGGUGAGUAACACGUGGAUAACCUACCUAUAAGACUGGGAUAACUUCGGGAAACCGGAUCUAAUACCGGAUAAUCUUUUGAACCGCAUGGUUCAAUAGUGAAAGACGGUCUUUCUGUCACUUCUAGCUGGAUCCGCGCUGCAUUAGCUAGUUGUUAAGGUAACGGCUUACCAAGGCAACGAUGCAUAGCCGACGUGAGAGGGUGAUCGGCCACACUGGAACUGAGACACGGUCCAGACUACUACGGGAGGCAGCAGUAGGGAAUCUUCCGCAAUGGGCGAAAGCAUGACGGAGCAACGCCGAGUGAGUGAUGAAGGUCUUCGGAUCGUAAAAAUCUGUUAUUAGGGAAGAACAGAUGUGGAAGUAACUGUGCACAUCGUGACGGUACCUAAUAAGAAAGCCACGGCUAACUACGUG